Molecule: unclassified non-coding RNA, 266 nt
Filed under: Hevea brasiliensis (rubber tree)
Lineage: Eukaryota; Viridiplantae; Streptophyta; Magnoliopsida; Malpighiales; Euphorbiaceae
Source: RNAcentral
CGGAGCGGGCAAGACCACGCUGUUCAACAUCGUCUCCGGGGUCUAUGAGCGCGAUCAGGGGCAUGUCGAACUGUCGGGCGAGGAUGUCACAGGACUGACGCCCGACAAGCUCGCAACGCGCGGCAUGUCGCGCACCUUCCAGAACCUCCAGAUAUUCCAGCGCAUGACGGCUGCGGAGAACGUCAUGGUCGGCCGUCAUCUCCGGGAGCGCUGCAAUCUGCUCGCGGACCUGUUCCGCCUGCCAUCGGUGACGCGGCAAAACGCCG